GGGGGUGCACUGGAUUCGAUGGAAGACCUGAAGCGAUGGAUGCAUACCGGGAAGCUUGUAACCCGUAAACUGCAGGCAAGCUUUAAUUGCGAACAAUGAACUCGCAAUGGCAGCCUAGUUAACCACUAGUCCACUGCCCGUUCGCUCGCGUAUCGCCUGUGUACGCGAAACGAGCGUCGACUCAGCAGGCUAGCGAUCCGGCGCAGGUCAGAGCUGGAAAGCGAAACUCUUCUGGCAUAGCUUUGGAGCGGUUCUUCGUCGCUUCUGCUGCCGUUUCAAAGCGAAUCACAAGCGAAGCGGCUAAGUAUGUAGAUUCCCUCGUAGACGGCUGCCACACGAGAGUUCGAUUCUCUCCACCUCCACUG
Molecule: transfer-messenger RNA, 365 nt
Filed under: Blastocatellia bacterium
Lineage: Bacteria; Pseudomonadati; Acidobacteriota; Blastocatellia
Rfam family: transfer-messenger RNA
About the family: Bacterial tmRNA, also known as 10Sa RNA or SsrA, is named for its dual tRNA and mRNA-like properties. Its role is to liberate the mRNA from a stalled ribosome. To accomplish this part of the tmRNA is used as a reading frame that ends in a translation stop signal.
Source: RNAcentral